RNAcentral lists this long non-coding RNA (415 nucleotides) under Carica papaya (papaya). RNAcentral's name for it is "long non-coding RNA (CPAP_LNC005840)". Lineage: Eukaryota; Viridiplantae; Streptophyta; Magnoliopsida; Brassicales; Caricaceae. The record is from RNAcentral.
UCAUGCGCGCGUCAGCUGGUUAGGCCUCCAGCGCACAAUCGACUGGGGUAGCGUGUUACUUUCUCGGGCUGUGCAUGCCGCCCCCCAUGGGUAUCAUGCACCGCCUUGUGUGGAAUACACCGUCAGUUGGGCGGCAAGCCACUGCCAUCUUGGAUGGUGUGCCACUGUCACUUGGGUGACGUGCCACUAUCGUUUCGGUGACGUGCCUCUAUUUUUUAUGUUGCCAUCACGUUGCAUUCGUCGACCAUCACAUUACUCCUUUCCCAUUGACUUUCUCUCUGCUCACUAGAUCCUGCCACUUGGCGUAAAUCCGAUGGUCCCCAUUUUAUAUAAAUAUGGACCCCCUUCACCAUUUUCUCUUCACUUCCAUUCCAUUCUUCUAUCCUCCAAGAGUUUAGAGAGAGAAUGAGUGAUC